GAUCAAGAGGACCAGGUCCCAGAGCCCGAUCCGCAAGAAGAUUGUGAGUAGAUGCUAAAUAUUUUCUAUUUUCUGUUUGUUUCCUUAUUUCUCGUGUUUCUUUCAAAGAACGAAUUCUGUAAUAUUGUUUAGUACUUUUAAGUUAUUGUGUAAGAAAUGUAAACCUUAAAUUUUUAUUUUACUUCCGCACUUAAAUUAUUAUCUAUUUCCUUUAUAUAUUUUCGGGGCCGCUACCAACUGUUUGAUUGAAUGAGAGAGAGAUAAGUUUAAGAGAUCAAAUUUCUUUUAAGGGGGGAGAGUUGUAAUACCUGGGCCCAAAAUUUGGUAC
This 328-nucleotide long non-coding RNA is filed under the name Carica papaya (papaya). RNAcentral describes it as "long non-coding RNA (CPAP_LNC007326)". Lineage: Eukaryota; Viridiplantae; Streptophyta; Magnoliopsida; Brassicales; Caricaceae. The record is from RNAcentral.